RNAcentral lists this ribosomal RNA (664 nucleotides) under Prototheca wickerhamii. Its description in RNAcentral is "LSU rRNA". It matches the Rfam family "Eukaryotic large subunit ribosomal RNA", at positions 62 to 648 of the family's 3401-position model. Lineage: Eukaryota; Viridiplantae; Chlorophyta; Trebouxiophyceae; Chlorellales; Chlorellaceae. The record is from RNAcentral.
AAACUAACCAGGAUUCCCCUAGUAACGGCGAGCGAACCGGGAAAUUUUGAGCCCACUUUGUAAAUCUGAAAGAAUAUGUAUUUUUCCGAAUUGUAGUCUACACAGGUUGGUCUUUUUGACAGAACUAGUUGUCCAAGUGCCUUGGAAGAGGCCGCGCGACAGGGUGAGAGCCCCGUUGGACAGAUUAUAUUCUGUCAGAUGCACAGACCACCUUGUUCGAGUCGGGUUGUUUGGGAAUGCAGCCCUAAUGUGUCGGUGGUAAAUCCCAUCGAAGGCUAAAUACUGGCGGGAGACCGAUAGCGAACAAGUACCGUGAGGGAAAGAUGAAAAGAACUUUGAAAAGAGAGUCAAAAGUGCUUGAAAUUGUUGAGAGGGAAGCGAUUGUGUGAGUUGUUUUGGGGGUGGGGUGAUCUGGGGUUGGCAGAGAGUUUUCUGGCCUCCUCAGCUAUCCCGGCUCCCGGUCAGCAUCGGUUUCUGGAGGGGUAGAAACGCCAGGUUUUGGUUUGGAUUGAAGUUGAUUUUUCAACUUCAGUCCAACGCCUGGCUCAUGCCUCUNUMNNNNUUGAGANNCCGAGGAACUUUCAGUACGGUGCCCCAGAARAACCAACUCUUGUUGGCUCUUCCGCACCGGUUGAUGGAUGCUGGCUGACGCCGCUCAAUCGGC